Molecule: long non-coding RNA, 1150 nt
Filed under: Gossypium barbadense (sea-island cotton)
Lineage: Eukaryota; Viridiplantae; Streptophyta; Magnoliopsida; Malvales; Malvaceae
Description: long non-coding RNA (GBAR_LNC011701)
Source: RNAcentral
UAAAUUAAACGCGCUGUGAAAGCAAAAGAAUUGAUCUCGUAAAUAGACCCUUUGUUGAAAACAUGCGGAUCCUCUGGAGUGGGUUGGGUCAACGUGCAGGUUUCGUCAAAACGACGUCGUUUUGACAUCUGAAAAAUCAGCCCAAAACAGUGUUGUUUUACAUGAGCUAUAAAUAAAUAAAAAUAACAAAAAAAUUCAUUUUAACCCCAAUUUAAAAAAAAACCAAAAAACUUUAUUUUUUUCUCUGAUUUCGUCUAUAGUCCGGCUGUAGUGGCCCAAUUUCGCCCGGGUCCAUACCAAAAUACCAAAACAACUAAAAAGCACAAAUACUAAAUGUCCAAGUCCCUUUUUACAAAUAAUAAAACCCAACCCUAACCAUUAAACCCAAACCUCAGCCCAAUUACUAAGACCAACCCAAAAUAACCUAACCCAAUACCCCAUGGCCCAAAACAAAAACAUAGCCAGGAAACCUAGCAGCUUCUGCUUGCACCGCAACGACUCCAACAGCCCCAAUCUCCAUGAACUCCGUACGCCCCACGCCCGUACAUGCCAGCUGCCUUGCCACGAUACCUGGUACUUACAAACAAAUGAAGGAACGACAGCAAAUAACAGCAACGACAGAAAAAUGAAAAAAAAUCUCUUUGUAAUCUCAUUUUUUCUUUUUUAUUUCGACUAUAAAAAGCCAAAGAAAAGACAAUGUUUACACAGAGAUCACGCACAAAAAAAAUCAAUACAAACGCAUACAUACAUUUGAAAAAAAAUAUUCAAAAAGAUUGAAGGUGGCUCUUCGAUUCAUAUUUUUUUUUGGGUUUUAUUUUCAGUUUUUUCUUUUGUAGAUAAAAAUUUUAGUAAAAUAUAAAAGAGGAGAAAAUUUAACUGUAUUUUGGGGGUUUCGGACUGGUGCCAUGGCGGAGGCGGAGGCAUCGAACGCCGAUGAACGCCGAAAUCGGCUAAGACUGAGACGCAGUGGGCAUCGUCUCUCUCUCUCCCUCUUCUCCCUUUCUUUUUUCCCCUUUAUGCAAUGAUGAAAUAAUCUGUUAAUUGAUUUUUAAGGCAGAUUUUAGCCUUUAUAUGUGUUUAAAAAUGACGUCGUUUUAAGCUGGGGAUAUUGGCGUUAAAACGGCGUCGUUUCAUGAUGCAACCCGAUUGC